GGGGCCGUAGCUCAGUUGGGAGAGCGCUUGAAUGGCAUUCAAGAGGUCGUCGGUUCGAUCCCGAUCGGCUCCA
RNAcentral lists this transfer RNA (73 nucleotides) under Fidelibacterota bacterium. RNAcentral describes it as "tRNA-Ala". It matches the Rfam family "tRNA". From Rfam's summary of the family: Transfer RNA (tRNA) molecules are approximately 80 nucleotides in length. Their secondary structure includes four short double-helical elements and three loops (D, anti-codon, and T loops). RNAcentral also lists the same sequence under 1 other name. Lineage: Bacteria; Pseudomonadati; Fidelibacterota. The record is from RNAcentral.